Molecule: ribosomal RNA, 322 nt
Filed under: uncultured eukaryote
Lineage: Eukaryota
Description: partial 18S ribosomal RNA
Rfam family: Eukaryotic small subunit ribosomal RNA
Source: RNAcentral
CCCUUAGAUGUUCUGGGCCGCACGCGUGCUACACUGAGUGGAUCAGCGGGUCAGGUUAUGCGAGAGCGUUUCCUAAUCUUCAAAUCCGCUCGUGAUGGGGAUUGACGGUUGCAAUUUUCCGUCAUGAACGAGGAAUACCUUGUAAGCGCGGGUCAUCAUCCCGCGCUGAAUACGUCCCUGCCCUUUGUACACACCGCCCGUCGCUCCCACCGAUUGAGUGGUCCGGUGAGGCUUUGGGAUCUAAGCGAAAAGAGCGUUUCGCUCCUUUUGCUGGGAGAACUCAGUCGAACCUUAUCAUUUAGAGGAAGGAGAAGUCGUAACA